GCAGCGGUAUGAGUGGUUCUUUGAUCUGCGGUGAUAUUGGCUAUUCGCAGUGAGGCUACUGAGUUUGACUGCAUUUUUUUUGGUCCCUAGCCAUUCGGGUCCUUGCUGUGUAUGUUGGCUUCAGUAGGUUCAGAUUUGCUGUUUGGAGUAGGAUGCACCUAGAUGAAAUUUAUCGAUCUUGGUAGAAAAAGAGAAGUCCUAU
This 202-nucleotide long non-coding RNA is filed under the name Elaeis guineensis (African oil palm). RNAcentral's name for it is "long non-coding RNA (EGUI_LNC063475)". Lineage: Eukaryota; Viridiplantae; Streptophyta; Magnoliopsida; Arecales; Arecaceae. The record is from RNAcentral.